CGCCCUUCGAACAUUUGAAAACCUAUGGACAUCACUAAGCUAAAUGAGUAAGAUCAAUGCAUAAAUCGACUUUUGAAGUAACCUGGACCCUUUACUACUUAAUAAACAAUCAACUAGCCAUUGCAUGAUCACAACAUUAUUUAAAUACAACAAAACCUGUUAUGACAGUCCAAAUGAAUUACAUAAUAGGAAGAGGUCUAACACAGUCUACACUAUUUAUCAUGAUGGAAUGUAGAAUGUAACUACUGAUUCUAUUACACCAGUUAUACAUCAAGUUUCCAUAGUGGUUCAGAAUCAGAUUCAGUGGUAAAAUAUUCAAUGAUCACCUAGCUAUAAUAUACUCGAUAGAUUGAACUCUACACUAAACACAUACCAAAUAUAGCUCUUGAGAGUGUGCUGUUAGCAGCGAAUCAAACACAAUACAUCAAACGAAUCAUAAUAAGGGAAUUCAGAAAGAUGAGAAAAUGAAACUAUGAACUAGAGAGUCGAUGCUAUGCUUUAAACUUCAAUUUUUCAUUUCAAUCUUCAAUUCAAGACUCACAUUAUAUAGGAUUCAGAAACAUGUACCUGAAUAUAUAAAAAUAAACCAAAAAACAAAGCUUGAGAUCGGUGAAACAACAUCAGCAAAAUAGAACCCAGAUUUUGGCAAUAAAACAGUAGAACCAAAUAGCAACACUUUUAACCAAACUUUUAAAGAUACAAAACUCAAUCCAUUUCAACCCAAAUGCAAGACUUUGUCAUUUUCAGUAAUGUUAACUGAGCAAUGAAAGAUCAAAAGCUGAAGCCAAGUGAGAUUUGAGCAAUUUUUAAACAAAGGAAAAUGCAGAAUCUUCAGUGUUAUAUCAGAAUUUUACUCAAAAAAAUGCUCAGCCAUUUUCUUUUCAGUCUUUUUUAAGCUCUCCCAAAAUCUGACUUCAACCUCAAGUAAGGAUGCCUUUAUAGGUAAGUUAUUAGGGCAGCCUAAAAGAAAUCAAAUUUGCCUUUAGACCCUCUUGGAAUUUUGGUUUUUGCUUAGAAAUCCCUAGGUUAAAACUCAAAUUUUCAGAAAAGUACCAAAGGCCAGCUUCUAGGAAGCUUCCCAAGUUAGUUACAUCAAAUUUCCCCAACUUAGAUUUCCUAAAUUAGCCCCUAGACCCUUUGUUUUUUACCACAGCAGGCCAUAUGGGUCAAUUCUGACCCAAGAUUUAAACUAAAAUGAGUGGGCUUCCCUUGAAAAUGGGUCAGAAAUGACCCCAAAGCCAAUAAGAAAAUCCAUUUGGUAAUUCAUGAAAAACAGAAGAAGAAACCAAUUAAAUGAUAUCAAAACAAAAAUCUAAACUAAACAACUGAUCUAAACCAAUUAAUGAGCUAGAAUUAACUAUAUUACCAAGUCAACAACAUCUAAUUAAACUAAUCAUACGACUAAAAAUCAGAAGCUUAAAGUCAUGAGUGACAAUUAAGCAUGACGAGUGAAUAAAGCAACGUUUAAAAGUUGAAAGGAAAACUAAAAAACAGCCGAAACAAAUACAUACAUGGAUCGAUCCAGAAAAAAGAAAUCCUAGGUUCAGAACCUUUGUCAAUUUUCAGUCUACUCACGAAAAAUGAGAAGAAAGGAAGAGGAGUAAGCGGUUAAAUAACGAAAUGGAUAGAAAAGAUAAGAAAAAGGAGGACUUACCAACUUAAAUAAACACUUCUGGAUGCCCUGAUUUAAACAAAAUUGAUGCUAAUCGCCCGUUCUUUGUCAAGAACAAGCGGGAAUAUUAAUUUUGCCUUGAAUCAGAUUUCAAAACUCAAAAAACUGGAAGCCUAUGUCAUGCAUGCCACAGAUUCAAGAGAUUUUGAUUUUGGGCUUUUAAAGCUUCAACUUCGAUUCAAGAUUCGACGAAAGUUAGGGUGAUUCGAGAGAAAACAUAUGGGAAUUUGGAAUGAGGGAGCCUUGGAGGUUCUCUGGUGUUAGUUUGGGGUUGAACAGAGGUGGCGCCGCCCCCGGAGAAAACAAAGGUCGCGCUAGGGUUUCUCCUUUGAAUCAAAAUUCGAGACGUUCCAAGGAGCUUUGAGGGUAGGUGAUUGGAUAUUCGGGGUUGGGUGGAGGAGAGGAUUCAUGGGUGUAUUUUUGGUGGUGAUUUGCGGUGGCGCCGCUACUGGUGGCGGGUGGAGAUAAGGGCGACUUUUAGGGUUCUUGUUGGGCUGGGGUGAGAGAAAUGAG
This 2185-nucleotide long non-coding RNA is filed under the name Nicotiana tabacum (common tobacco). RNAcentral's name for it is "long non-coding RNA (NTAB_LNC010335)". Lineage: Eukaryota; Viridiplantae; Streptophyta; Magnoliopsida; Solanales; Solanaceae. The record is from RNAcentral.